RNAcentral lists this ribosomal RNA (468 nucleotides) under uncultured bacterium. RNAcentral's name for it is "partial 16S ribosomal RNA". It matches the Rfam family "Bacterial small subunit ribosomal RNA", at positions 28 to 507 of the family's 1533-position model. The record is from RNAcentral.
GACGAACGCUGGCGGCGUGCUUAACACAUGCAAGUCGAACGGAAAGGCCCUGCUUUUGCGGGGUGCUCGAGUGGCGAACGGGUGAGUAACACGUGAGUAACCUGCCCUUGACUUUGGGAUAACUUCAGGAAACUGGGGCUAAUACCGGAUAGGAGCUCCUGCUGCAUGGUGGGGGUUGGAAAGUUUCGGCGGUUGGGGAUGGACUCGCGGCUUAUCAGCUUGUUGGUGGGGUAGUGGCUUACCAAGGCUUUGACGGGUAGCCGGCCUGAGAGGGUGACCGGCCACAUUGGGACUGAGAUACGGCCCAGACUCCUACGGGAGGCAGCAGUGGGGAAUAUUGCACAAUGGGCGGAAGCCUGAUGCAGCAACGCCGCGUGCGGGAUGACGGCCUUCGGGUUGUAAACCGCUUUCGCCUGUGACGAAGCGUGAGUGACGGUAAUGGGUAAAGAAGCCCCGGCUAACUACGUG